Molecule: ribosomal RNA, 393 nt
Filed under: uncultured bacterium
Lineage: Bacteria
Description: partial 16S ribosomal RNA
Rfam family: Bacterial small subunit ribosomal RNA
Source: RNAcentral
AUACGGAGGCUGCGAGCGUUAUCCGGAUUUAUUGGGUUUAAAGGGUGCGUAGGCUGUGCGUUAAGUCAGGGGUGAAAUGCCGUCGCUCAACGACGGAGCUGCCCUUGAUACUGGCGUGCUGGAGUACGGAUGCCGUUGGAGGAAUGAGUGGUGUAGCGGUGAAAUGCUUAGAUAUCACUCAGAACACCGAUUGCGAAGGCAUCUGACGAAUCCGUCACUGACGCUGAGGCACGAAAGCGUGGGGAUAGAACAGGAUUAGAUACCCUGGUAUUCCACGCCGUAAACGAUGAUGACUAACCGUCGGCGAUAGACAGCCGGUGGCCAAGCGAAAGCGAUAAGUCAUCCACCUGGGGAGUACGUCGGCAACGAUGAAACUCAAAUGAAUUGACGGGG